CCAGUUUACAUGUACACAUUCAAAGACUUUGACCGUUAGUGGAGUGACUCUGGGCGUGGGUGCUAACACUUAGUAUUAUGGUAAACCUACCGAACAAUGGAUAAGGAGGAUCACCUCGUCCUAGGAUCCAGUCACCUUUUACUCAGAAACCUAAAACAUGAAGUUUAAAAACUUGAGUAUAAACUCAGUGAGUGAACAUAAGAAGGGAACAAACAAGCAGUAUGGAAAGAUUAGAAAACAUGAUACAUUUAUUUUAAAAACAAUGCAAUUUAGUUUAAUUCUUAUUGAAACCCCUCAUUUAAACCCUUAGUUGUUUAAUCACUUGAUGAUGAAGAAUCCAUGAACAAAAAAGAAUUUGAAGAGUGAAAACUUUAGUAGCAUUCAAGCAAGUCAAUUGAAAUGGAUUGAUCCUUGCCACAGCAAAAAGGCAUUCUUGCUGUAGUGAAGCUACAACGAGAAUGAAUUUUUGCUGCAGCGAAAUUAGAUCACAAAUCAUCAGCUGAUCGAGGGUUUCUCGCUAUAGCAAAAUUCUGGCAGGGGUUUGGAAUGCACCCACCCGAGGGUUUCUCGCUACAACGAGAAUUCAUUUCCGCUGCAGUGAGAAUCCAUUUUCACUGUAGUGAGAUUUAGGGUAGAUAAAAAUAAAAAGGUUUUUACAUGCCACAAAAAUCCAUUCCUGCCGUAUUAAACAUCAAAUUGAACACAUUAACAAAUAUCAAGCUUUCUCAAUAUUCAAUGCAAUCACAUAUUAUUUUCAUAACCUUUUCUAUAGCAUAUAAAAACAUAUUCAUAGCAUAUAUAUAUAUACAAACAUGUAUACAACCACCACCUCACCCAGCUCAUGUGCACUACGCACAGCACAUAGUCGAAGUCAUAGUGUGCACCCCCACAUCGCGCACAACUAAUGCCAUCAUGUGUUCCCCCCACAUCGCGCACAUGGCAUAUAUCAUCAUUAUCGUGUGCACCCCCACAUCGCUCACAACUAAUGCCCUCAUGUUCUCCCCGCACAUCACGCACUUAGGCAUCUCAUCAUCCACACUCUCGCACCCCGUCAUCACGGGCAUGUGAAACCCCCACAUCGGUCACAUGGACAGUUAUAAUUAUAACACCAUAUUAACUAUCAAUACACAACAUAUAUAUCAGCAUAAUAUGGGAGCACAAGGAUUCAUCAUCUUACACAUUCACAACAUACAACAUUUCAUCAAGGGCUUGUUCCCAUGCAAGUUUUAAGAAAAACUAGUAAAAUGUUUCAAGUGGUUCAAUCAAGCAUAUAAUCAUUUAUUCCAAAACAUUUUAAUGCAAGUUCACUCAUCGAUCUUUGUUGAUGUUUUGAUCGACUCUAACUUCGAUCAAUGCUCCGAAUGGAGAUGUGGGAUCUCAUUGGAACCUAUCACACCCAAUAGCAUCUCCAUCAGCCAAAUUGGCAUUAAUAUAAUUCCAAAAGCUAUUUCCUAACUCAAGUUCAGCUAGUUAUUCCUAACUAGCUUCCAAUCACCAUUAAAUGGCUAUUUAUUUCACUACUCUAGUCACCCUAAAAAUGAAUAAACAACCUCAACAAUAAAACACUAACAAAUCCCAUUGUUUGCCAUUGUCAACAUCUUAAAAAUGAACUCAAUUUCAUUACUCACCUUGGUAGCUUUGUAAUUGAACUCCUUCUCAAAAUUUCUUAAGCUAUUAUAGAAAGUCUCUCAUUCUCUCUCGAAAACACCUAGUUAGUGAGAGAAAGGGUUACGGUAAGACUUUUGAGGGUUUUUGAAGUGUAGAAGUGAAAAAGCAUGAAAAAUCCUAUGGCAAGGUAUAUAAAAACAUAAGUUUUGGGGUUACCAUGAGAAAAUUUUUGGAGGUUUCAAA
This 1851-nucleotide long non-coding RNA is filed under the name Theobroma cacao (cacao). RNAcentral describes it as "long non-coding RNA (TCAC_LNC003806)". Lineage: Eukaryota; Viridiplantae; Streptophyta; Magnoliopsida; Malvales; Malvaceae. The record is from RNAcentral.